UUGACAUCCAGAGAAUUUAGCAGAGAUGCUUUAGUGCCUUCGGGAACUCUGAGACAGGUGCUGCAUGGCUGUCGUCAGCUCGUGUUGUGAAAUGUUGGGUUAAGUCCGCAACGAGCGCAACCCUUAUCCUUUGUUGCCAGCACGUAAUGGUGGGAACUCAAAGGAGACUGCCGGUGAUAAACCGGAGGAAGGUGGGGAUGACGUCAAGUCAUCAUGGCCCUUACGAGUAGGGCUACACACGUGCUACAAUGGCGUAUCAAAGAGAAGCGACCUCGCGAGAGCAAGCGGACCUCAUAAAGUGCGUCGUAGUCCGGAUUGGAGUCUGCAACUCGACUCCAUGAAGCCGGAAUCGCUAGUAAUCGUAAAUCAGAAUGUUACGGUGAAUACGUUCCCGGGCCUUGUACACACCGCCCGUCACACCAUGGGAGUGGGUUGCAAAAGAAGUAGAUAGCUUAACCUUCGGGAGGGCGUUUACCACUUUGUGAUUCAUGACUGGGGUGAAGUCGUAACAAGGUAAGCGUAGUGCU
This 527-nucleotide ribosomal RNA is filed under the name uncultured bacterium. RNAcentral's name for it is "bacterial SSU rRNA". It matches the Rfam family "Bacterial small subunit ribosomal RNA", at positions 981 to 1509 of the family's 1533-position model. The record is from RNAcentral.